Molecule: ribosomal RNA, 117 nt
Filed under: Lepisosteus oculatus (spotted gar)
Lineage: Eukaryota; Metazoa; Chordata; Actinopteri; Semionotiformes; Lepisosteidae
Source: RNAcentral
CAUCAUAGCCAUAUCACCCUGCAACUCACAACUGGCAAUCCACUGAUGCUAAGCAGGUGUGAGCCUGGUCAGUACCUGGAUAGGAGACCUCCUGGGAAAAACUAAGGUUGCUGCUGG